Molecule: ribosomal RNA, 465 nt
Filed under: Vreelandella stevensii
Lineage: Bacteria; Pseudomonadati; Pseudomonadota; Gammaproteobacteria; Oceanospirillales; Halomonadaceae
Description: partial 16S ribosomal RNA
Rfam family: Bacterial small subunit ribosomal RNA
Source: RNAcentral
CCUACGGGGGGCAGCAGUGGGGAAUAUUGGACAAUGGGCGAAAGCCUGAUCCAGCCAUGCCGCGUGUGUGAAGAAGGCCUUCGGGUUGUAAAGCACUUUCAGUGGGGAAGAAAGCCUUGGGGCUAAUACCCUCGAGGAAGGACAUCACCCACAGAAGAAGCACCGGCUAACUCCGUGCCAGCAGCCGCGGUAAUACGGAGGGGGCGAGCGUUAAUCGGAAUUACUGGGCGUAAAGCGCGCGUAGGCGGUCUGAUAAGCCGGUUGUGAAAGCCCCGGGCUCAACCUGGGAACGGCAUCCGGAACUGUCAGGCUAGAGUGCAGGAGAGGAAGGUAGAAUUCCCGGUGUAGCGGUGAAAUGCGUAGAGAUCGGGAGGAAUACCAGUGGCGAAGGCGGCCUUCUGGACUGACACUGACGCUGAGGUGCGAAAGCGUGGGUAGCAAACAGGAUUAGAUACCCCAGUAGUC